RNAcentral lists this ribosomal RNA (253 nucleotides) under uncultured bacterium. RNAcentral describes it as "partial 16S ribosomal RNA". It matches the Rfam family "Bacterial small subunit ribosomal RNA", at positions 524 to 776 of the family's 1533-position model. The record is from RNAcentral.
GACGUAGGAGACAAACGUUAUCCGGAGUUACUGGGCGUAAAGGGCGUGCAGGCGGUCUGAUAAGUCUGGCGUGAAAUUUAACGGCUUAACCGGGAAAUGUCGUCGGAGACUGUUGGACUAGAGGGCGAUAGAGGUGUGUGGAAUUCCGGGUGUAGUGGUGAAAUGCGUAGAGAUCCGGAGGAACACCAGUGGCGAAGGCGACACACUGGGUCGCACCUGACGCUAAUACGCGACAGCAUGGGGAGCGAACGGG